Molecule: non-coding RNA, 27 nt
Filed under: Rattus norvegicus (Norway rat)
Lineage: Eukaryota; Metazoa; Chordata; Mammalia; Rodentia; Muridae
Source: RNAcentral
UCUUCCCCUGUGAGCUGUAUUAUGUGU